Molecule: long non-coding RNA, 730 nt
Filed under: Olea europaea (common olive)
Lineage: Eukaryota; Viridiplantae; Streptophyta; Magnoliopsida; Lamiales; Oleaceae
Description: long non-coding RNA (OEUR_LNC011037)
Source: RNAcentral
AAACAAUUUUGUCAUCUAUCCAAUAUAUGAAGGAGAUUAGCCUUACAUGAUGUUGGAAUUAAAUAAAUAAAAGUGGAACGACAUCACCGAUUAUUGACGAAACGUAAUUAAUUUCAAAUUCUUGGCACCAUCCUUGACGAAUUAUUUGCACCAAAAAAGUUCUGGAAUUUUAUCUCUCUGCCACGUUCAGUCCGUCCGUCUCCAAGUAAUCUGCCACUUUUAUUGUUAAUUCCACAAUUCGAUGUUAGCCCAACGCCUAUUUUUCUGUCUUCUCCACCAGCUGCCUUCUGCUUCGUUUUUCUCCUCUGUUUCAGCCCCAAAAAUGUGUUGGAAAAUAUAUAAUAUAGGCAGCCUAAUUGAUUCCCCCAAACUGCCGACCAGCCGUCAAUGUGUAAAAUUAUAUAAAUAGUGGCUGCCUUUGUUUUGGCGUGUAAUUAUAUUGGCUGCCACCCUCUCCAAUUUCCUCCAGCAGCCGGCCAGCCCUCAAUGUGUGUGUGCCAAUUAUAAUAUUGCUGCCUCUGUUUUUGCGUGAGAAUUGAGAUGUAUACUAUAAUUUAGCCAUAUUGCUGCCUCUGUUUUUGCGUGAGAAUUGAGAUGUAUACUAUAAUUUAGCCAUAUUGCUGCCUCUGUUUUUGCGUGAGAAUUGAGAUGUAUACUAUAAUUUAGCCCACAAUUCUCCCCGAUUUUGGCGCGUGAAUGUCAGAAUGUGAAUACUAUUGGCUCACCCAAG